RNAcentral lists this long non-coding RNA (1717 nucleotides) under Gossypium barbadense (sea-island cotton). Its description in RNAcentral is "long non-coding RNA (GBAR_LNC010482)". The record is from RNAcentral. Lineage: Eukaryota; Viridiplantae; Streptophyta; Magnoliopsida; Malvales; Malvaceae.
UUUAUUGAAGAAAUUUAACAAGUACAAAGCAUAAAAAAAUAAAAGAGCCCAGCUAUAAAACUUGACCCAAAAACAAAUAGUAACAUGAAAACAGAAACCAAUCCUAAGUGCAAAACCAAAAAAAGGCCCAAAAAUAAGAUUCUAACCUGUGAAAAAAUCAGAAAAAUAGAAAAACAAUUAGCCUUUUUCUUGCCCAAUCAGAAAUGAACGAUUGCCGUCUUUUUCCCUCAUCUGACAUUUCUUCCUCAAGACUCUUCCAUAUUCCCAAGAGGAGCGUUUGCCAUCAAAUCUAUGGGUAUCCCGCUUCAAAGCUCCCCUCUUUCACUUACUUCCUUCCAUUUUCAAUCUGGUUCUCUCGCCCUAUCCCUAUCCGCUUGCUUUUCUGCCAAAUUUGGAACGCUUCCUACAAGGUAAACUUCAGUCUUAUUCUUCAGCGUUUCAUUUGCUAAAGAAUACGCUAAACUGUUUGCUAAUCGUGGGAUGUAUUCAAACCUACACUCCUUAAACUUUAACAAAAGCUGACAAAUAUCAUGAAUAUAAGCACCUACCAAGGACUUAUCUGGUCUUUUCUCUCUGCACUUUUUUAUUAUUGACAAGGAAUCUCCCUCGAUAAUGAUUUUUUCCCAUUGCAUGUCAAUACCUAUCUGGGUCGCUACCCGGUACGCAAGUGCCUCAGCAGCGAAGGCAGAAGCAACCCGUUGCUGGAUCACCGAACAUGAUAAGAAAACAUCUCCUUCGCUAUUUCUUGCCACAACUCCUGCUGCUGAUUGACAAGUUCUUGCUUUAUAUGCUGCAUCAAAAUUAAUCUUCACAACCUUUUCAGGUGGCCACCUUCAUUUACAAGUAUCAAAAGAGUUUUUUGGGUUUCUUUUAUCAUUCUCGUCUAUUUCUGCUAUAUUACUGUUAACAAAACUUACUAUUUCUUUUCCAGAUUUGCUAGCCUUCUUAUGCACUCUAGUGUUCCCGUCUCCCUAAAUGGGCCAUAAUACACGGCAAAAAAGUCUAUAAUAAGAUAGCGAACUUUGCGAAAAGACCCAAGUUAGCCACUGUAUAAACCCCAAAUGGGUAUCUUGUAUAUAAAACUGGCCUGAUAGCUCUCUCCAAACUGAAAUUGAAAUAGGGCAAGCACGAAAAAGAUGGUCCAUAUUCUCUGAUCCACUUCCACACCGAGGGCAUAUAGAUGUGUUUGUUAACUUUCUCUGUAACAUGUUAACUCGUGUAGGUAGAUAGUUCCACGAUAUUUUCCAGACUGUAAUUUUUACUUUAGAAGGUAGAUUGAAUAUCCAUAGUUUUUUUUUUUAUAGAAUUCCUUAUAGUCGGCUUGUAAAGCGUGAGCUGUAAGAUCUCCUUCGAUGCUUUGUAAUAGUUUAUAGGUGCUGCUUACUAUGUAUUCGCCCGACGCCUCACCACUCUAAACCCGAAAAUCAUCGUGGGGAUCCUCUGCCAAUGGGAUACGGAGAAUCUUCUCGGCUACUUCCUCAGGAAAGGUAGACUCUAUCAGCUCUUUCUUCCAUAUUCUGCUACUUGGUUCAAUUAACUCAACAACUUUAAAAUCGUUCAAAUUAUUAAUUAAAGACGACAAUCUGGUAUUUUUUUUUUCCACCUGGAAUCCAAAAAUCAUUAAGAGCGGAAAUGUCCGUACCCCUACCCACCUUACAGCAUAAUCCUUCUUCUAAAAUGCCUCUUGUAGCCCAAAUACUCUUCCAUGUAUACGAAC